AUUGAACGCUGGCGGCAUGCUUUACACAUGCAAGUCGAACGGCAGCGCGGGCUUCGGCCUGGCGGCGAGUGGCGAACUGGUGAGUAAUGCAUCGGAACGUGCCCAGUAGUGGGGGAUAGCCCGGCGAAAGCCGGAUUAAUACCGCAUACGACCUGAGGGUCAAAGCGGGGGACCGAAAGACCUCGCGCUCUUGGACCGGCCGAUGUCGGAUUAGCUAGUUGGUGGGGUAAAGGCUUACCAAGGCGACGAUCCGUAGCUGGUCUGAGAGGACGAGCAGCCACACUGGGACUGAGACACGGCCCAGACUCCUACGGGAGGCAGCAGUGGGGAAUUUUGGACAAUGGGGGCAAGCCUGAUCCAGCCAUGCCGCGUGCGGGAAGAAGGCCUUCGGGUUGUAAACCGCUUUUGUUCGGGAAGAAAUCCUCUGGGCUAAUACCCCGGGGGGAUGACGGUACCGGAAGAAUAAGCACCGGCUAACUACGUG
This 484-nucleotide ribosomal RNA is filed under the name uncultured bacterium. RNAcentral's name for it is "partial 16S ribosomal RNA". It matches the Rfam family "Bacterial small subunit ribosomal RNA", at positions 28 to 507 of the family's 1533-position model. The record is from RNAcentral.